This is a long non-coding RNA of Melanotaenia boesemani (Boeseman's rainbowfish), 258 nucleotides long. RefSeq lists it as uncharacterized. The transcript has 3 exons. The record is from RefSeq and is a predicted model, not a curated record. Lineage: Eukaryota; Metazoa; Chordata; Actinopteri; Atheriniformes; Melanotaeniidae.
CCAACCAGUUGCUACAGACGUAAAAAAAAAACCAGAAAACCACCUGCAACAUCUUCAAGAAAACAAAUCUGACGAUCAAAAUCACCUAUUAGAAGACAGACAAGCUGACAGACAAAAAAAAAAAAAAAAAAACAUGAGCCUGCCAGCCUGCCAUUAGGGACAGCCACGCACCCCCCCACCCCUUUUAUACAGAAUAUGCAAACUAUUAAAAGAAAUAUAUACAAAUAAAAGAGAAGAAAACCAAACAAACAACAACAA